Daktulosphaira vitifoliae (grape phylloxera) is the source of this 974-nucleotide long non-coding RNA. RefSeq lists it as uncharacterized. The record is from RefSeq and is a predicted model, not a curated record. The transcript has 3 exons. NCBI's taxonomy places the organism in Eukaryota, Metazoa, Arthropoda, Insecta, Hemiptera, Phylloxeridae.
UGCUUGUGGCAUGUGUAACAGAUGCAAAAUGUCACGCGCCUGGCAAGUAGUCUGUAAUAAAUUAUAACGAUAUGAAAGGAAGGAGGAACUUUAAGAAAUAAUAAGACUUCUUUAUAAUUCAUCGAUGAGCAUGAAACACACCAUCGUUGUUUGUUUAAAUCAUCAUCAUAACUAAAAAUGAAAAUGCUAUCAUAAUGAUCUACAACUGUUUAAAACACAGAUAUAGAUAAUAGUUUAUUAUCUAUAUCUGUGGUUUAAAAUGAAAAAAUGUUAUCACAAUUCUCAAUAUCAUUUGAUAAGAUAAUAAAAGUUGUAAGUCUAUUUUCUUACAAUUAUUUAAUAAAUUUUUGAAUUGACAGCCAAAAAAAAAAAAAAAUAACUUCUCGAAAUUAUGAAGCAACUUUCUAUUUUUCUUGAUGGAGCAUCAUGUCACAUAGUGGUGAAUAUUUUUCAUAAACAUGGGAAAAACUGGAUAAUUAGACCUACUAAAACAAUUAAAAUUUAAAGCAAGUUUAUUAAGAAAAAAUAAUCUGCAAAAUCACGUCAUCUUAGUUAAUUGUUACAUUUUAAAAAAAUUAUAUCUUUCGUUAGAGUAAUAAAUCAAUUAUAUUAUACUUGAAAAUUUUAGUCCUAAAUAAAAAUAAAAUUUUAACAGUAAUGCAGCAAGAGGGGUCACUAAGACCAUUCCUAUUCUUCAUUGGUUAAUAUACAUUGGAUAUAUAAAUUCUAAAAUGGAGUGGUGAGUAAAUAAAAGGACUAAAUAUAGAAUAAAAAAAAAACUAGCUAUGUCACUAAACAAGUUUUACCUGAACCAUAUUGUACUUAACUAUGAACAAUUUACAAUAAAUUCUUUCAAAAUAUGUAUUCAUAAAAAUAUUAUAUUUACACAUUACCUUUAAAAGAAAUUUGUUUUAAUUAAAAAAAAAAAAAAAUAACAAAACCUUAACUCGUCAUCGUUAAAUAACAAAUAUUAU